RNAcentral lists this ribosomal RNA (372 nucleotides) under uncultured organism. RNAcentral's name for it is "bacterial SSU rRNA". It matches the Rfam family "Bacterial small subunit ribosomal RNA", at positions 526 to 896 of the family's 1533-position model. The record is from RNAcentral.
CGGAGGGUGCAAGCGUUGUUCGGAUUUAUUGGGCGUAAAGCGCGUGUAGGCGGUUUCUUAAGUCUGAUGUGAAAGCCCUGGGCUCAACCCAGGAAGUGCAUUGGAUACUGGGAGACUUGAAUACGGGAGAGGGUAGUGGAAUUCCUAGUGUAGGAGUGAAAUCCGUAGAUAUUAGGAGGAACACCGGUGGCGAAGGCGGCUACCUGGACCGAUAUUGACGCUGAGACGCGAAAGCGUGGGGAGCAAACAGGAUUAGAUACCCUGGUAGUCCACGCCGUAAACGAUGAGAACUAGGUGUUGCGGGUAUUGACCCCUGCAGUGCCGCAGCUAACGCAUUAAGUUCUCCGCCUGGGAAGUACGGUCGCAAGACUA